This is a long non-coding RNA of Carassius carassius (crucian carp), 416 nucleotides long. RefSeq lists it as uncharacterized. Lineage: Eukaryota; Metazoa; Chordata; Actinopteri; Cypriniformes; Cyprinidae. The transcript has 3 exons. The record is from RefSeq and is a predicted model, not a curated record.
AUUUUAUUUGGCCUCUGUUUGAAGUAUUACCAUACUUUUGAUAACAGUGGUCUCUGUUUUUGUGAUAUAAUGCAACUUUCUCCAUGCCAUUACGCGAGAUGUAAACAUCGACGUCAUCGAUGACGUCGACGCGUCGUUGCAGCACUACCCACAACCAUCACAUUUUCUUCAAACGUUGACAAUAACUUUUGUCAUUAAUUCAUCGGCUGAGGUCCACAUCCUUAGCCUGCUGGAAACCAUUAAACAGCAACAAGACCAGCUUGUGGCAAAGGUGAACUACCUCAGCAGCAGCUGAACAGCACCUCAGGGCCAGAUGUUGAGAUGCCUGAAAAUAUCCAGUUUCCCCUGGAGUAACUGGAGGCCGUGGAGGCAUUUGAAAUGUUUCUAAAGGAACCGUCAAAGACCCAGCUCCACAG